This 452-nucleotide ribosomal RNA is filed under the name bacterium XPB1001. RNAcentral describes it as "bacterial SSU rRNA". It matches the Rfam family "Bacterial small subunit ribosomal RNA", at positions 28 to 478 of the family's 1533-position model. The record is from RNAcentral.
GAUGAACGCUGGCGGCGUGCUUAACACAUGCAAGUCGAACGAAGCAACUUAUUACGAUCCCUUCGGGGUGACGAUUUGUUGACUGAGUGGCGGACGGGUGAGUAACGCGUGGGUAACCUUCCUUGUACAGGGGGACAACAGUUGGAAACGACUGCUAAUACCGCAUAAGCGCACAGUUUCGCAUGAAGCAGUGUGAAAAGUUUUUUCGGUACAAGAUGGACCCGCGUCUGAUUAGCUAGUUGGUGAGGUAACGGCUCACCAAGGCGACGAUCAGUAGCCGACCUGAGAGGGUGACCGGCCACAUUGGGACUGAGACACGGCCCAAACUCCUACGGGAGGCAGCAGUGGGGAAUAUUGCACAAUGGGCGAAAGCCUGAUGCAGCGACGCCGCGUGAGCGAAGAAGUAUUUCGGUAUGUAAAGCUCUAUCUAGCAGGGAAGAUAAUGACGGUAC